Talpa occidentalis (Iberian mole) is the source of this 2771-nucleotide long non-coding RNA. RefSeq lists it as uncharacterized. The transcript has 6 exons. NCBI's taxonomy places the organism in Eukaryota, Metazoa, Chordata, Mammalia, Eulipotyphla, Talpidae. The record is from RefSeq and is a predicted model, not a curated record.
UUAAGCAGCCAGGAUUGGUAAAUCACCAGACAUGUGGGCCUUGGCGGUCCUUUGUUUUUUGCCAGCCAUCAGCGUGCUAUUGGGGGUGUCAGUUCAGCUUCGAAUCUGAUGAGAGCGUUGCAGAACCCCCACAGCUCUAUAGCAGUAGAGGAGAAAGUGAAAUGGUACAAAACAUCUGGUGCUGUCCAUCCCGACCUUCAGACUGUGGGUAUGGGCUGCUGCAGCGUCACCUCAGCAGCCCUGCGUGUGAGCACCUCCAGCAGCAGUGAGUUGGAUCCCUGCGGCUCCUUGCCGGCUGCCUGCGCUCCAGGCCCUACUGGUGGGACGUUGCCAUUUUGAACCAGCGAACUUUUGUUUGGAGCUUCUGGACAGUGGGCACUCUCUACGUUUUUGACUGACAUCUAUUCACUUCAAGGGUGAUUUUCCUGUUGGCAAGAGGCAGAAGAGACACACCAAGCAUCACCUUCAGGAACAAGCAAUUUAAGUACUAUAAUGAGAUGGGUCUUUUCAGAGUCUAUAAUUGGUGACAAGAAACAACUUUGUAAGCAGCCAAAGAUGCAACAGCACAGAAUAUGGGUCGAGUGUGGGCUUUGAUAUGAAACAUUCCCGAGAUCAAGUACAAGAAAGACUUCUCACUGAAGGCAUAUGGAAACAAGAAAAAAAUGGACUACUGAAAGAAAAAAGGAAAAAGAGAGGAAGAAAAAACUGCUAUAGAGGUCCAGUGAAAGGCUUGAGACACAGUCCUAUAGGCUGAAUCUUUUUCCUCAAAAAAAGAUUUUGAAGUUAUAACCCCUAAUAUUUCAGAAUGUCAUCUUAUUUAGAAAGUCACUGCAGAUGUAAUUAAUUAAGGUCAAAUUGGAGUAGGGCAGACCCCUAAUCCAAUAUAAAUGAUGACUUUUAAAUGUGAACAUGGACACAAAGAAAGAAAACCAAGUAACAAUGAAGGCAGAGAUUGGAGUUCUGCAGCUCCAAGCCAUGGAGCACUAAAGAUUGUCAACAAACCACAGAAGCUAUUCAAAGGUUUCAGAGAGUAUGGUCCUGCUGACAUAUUGAUUGCAAACUUAUAACCUCCAAAACUAUGAGAUAAUACAUUUCUGUUAUUUAAAAUCAUCCUAUUCAUGGUACUUUGUCAUAGACAGGAACUGAGAGGAAGACAUAUAAACUACACUAAAAAAAUGAACAUUUAUGCAUGGGAAGUCAAUAACUGCCAAAGGGGAAUCAAAUAGUAUUCCAAAGUUUUGAACUCAGGAGAGCAGAGAGUGUAAAUUUUGGAAAUGAGAAUUUUUUUAAAUUGAGUGAAAAAUAGAAAUAAUGCAAAGAAAGGGAAAGAGUGUGGACAAUCGCAAUAGAACACAUUAUAGAAAUAGAAUAACUAAUAAAACACUGUUAUGCAGACUGAGAAGUGAUCAUAGAAGUUUGGAACUUCAGUUAAAAAGUUUUAUAGUCAGAUUGAUAAAAACUAGUAAAUUGAAUGCUUUCAGAUUCGAGGAGCUUUAUGAAUAAUAUUACUAAUGCUUGCAGUAAUGCUGUAAAAUGUGUUGACCAUGAAUAAUUCUACCUUAUCCAUCCCCACUUCCAAAGAAGCUAUAAAGUGGGUGAUUAUCAGGGACAUUUCUUAGCCCUUCUUACAAGUAGAAAAUACCUUUUGUGGUAUUGACCUAUUAUCACUGGGAGAAUGUGAGCAGAAAAAUAUGCACAAUUUAUAGGUUGAGCAUUGAAAAAACAGGGAUAAACUCUCCUAAACUUCCCUCCUGAUUUCUGUCUAAAUGCAGAUGGACUUCAAGCUCUAGAGUUGGGUUUAACAAAUUGCCCCAAGCACCAAAUGUGCCCUAUUGCCUAUUUUGUAAAGAAUCCUAUUAAAAUGCAGCCAUAUCCAUUUAUUUACUUAUUGACUGUUGCUGAUUUGUGCUACAAGAGCAGAGUUGAGUUGCAGCACUAUCUCAUCUUUAUUAAGCCAUUCAUUUACAUAUUUAAAAAAUUUACAUGAGAAAGUUAGAUAAUUUAGCCCAAGAUUACAUUAGCAAGAGAAAAGGGCAGGGUUGGAAUGCACUUCUGUGUGGUUCUAAAAUCUUCCCUAUUUCUCUAAGUUCAGAGUGAUCUUGAGUUCAUGGUAGCUUUUAUCCUUUUUUUGGCAUUUUUAUGUAUUUGUCUAAUAGAUCUAUUAAAAUACAAUUUAUAGAUCAGCAGAUUUAUCCUUUUAAACUGUAAGAUUCUAUACUUUUGGGUGUAUUUACAGAGUUGUACAAUCAUCGCCACUGAUGAAAUUAAGGGCAAUUUCAGCAGUUCAAAACAUAUCUAUGAACAGUGGCUCCCUAUUCCUUACUCUUCCUAUCAUCUUGAAACUAUUAAAUUCUCAAGUCUAUUCAUAGUGAAGCAAUAAUAAAUUCAUCCUUCUAGACACUAUAGAAGUGGAAUAAGUCAACAUUGUGGAGUUUUGUGACUCAUUUAUUUAACUUGACAAAAUGUUUUCAAGGUUCUUCCAUGGUAUAACAUAUAUCAAUACCUCAUUCCUUUUUAUUGACAAUAAAUUUCUACCUAUAGAUAAGAUUCUAUUUCUCCAUUAAUCAUUUCAGUUGUUUCUAGUUUUUACUUAAGAAUAAUGUUAUGAACACUUGUGUAAACAGGUUUGAGUUCUUUUGGUUAUCACCUAGGAUUGGAAUUCUUUGAUCACAUGGUAAUUCUAUGUUUAACAUUGAAACAAUGACUAAGCUGUUUUCCAAAAUGACUGCACCAUUUUAUAAUCCCACUAGCAAUGUUGUAAAGAUUGUACU